CCAGACUCCUACGGGAGGCAGCAGUGAGGAAUAUUGGUCAAUGGGCGCGAGCCUGAACCAGCCAAGUCGCGUGAGGGAUGACGGUCCUACGGAUUGUAAACCUCUUUUGCCGGGGAGCAAGCGUGCGUUCGUGAACGCGCGUCGAGAGUACCCGGAGAAAAAGCAUCGGCUAACUCCGUGCCAGCAGCCGCGGUAAUACGGAGGAUGCGAGCGUUAUCCGGAUUUAUUGGGUUUAAAGGGUGCGUAGGCGGGAUGCCAAGUCAGCGGUAAAAAUGCGGUGCUCAACGCCGUACUGCCGUUGAAACUGCAUCCCUUGAGUGCGCGAGAAGUAUGCGGAAUGCGCGGUGUAGCGGUGAAAUGCAUAGAUAUCACGCAGAACUCCGAUUGCGAAGGCAGCAUACCGGCGCGCAACUGACGCUCAUGCACGAAAGCGUGGGUAUCGAACAGGAUUAGAUACCCCAGUACUA
This 467-nucleotide ribosomal RNA is filed under the name uncultured bacterium. RNAcentral describes it as "bacterial SSU rRNA". It matches the Rfam family "Bacterial small subunit ribosomal RNA", at positions 331 to 797 of the family's 1533-position model. The record is from RNAcentral.